AAAAAGAUAAGCUAAUACAUAAGCUAAUGGGUUCAUACCCCAUGCAUAGAGGAUACCUCUUCUUUUUA
RNAcentral lists this transfer RNA (68 nucleotides) under Atractomorpha sinensis. RNAcentral's name for it is "tRNA-Met". The record is from RNAcentral. RNAcentral also lists the same sequence under 1 other name. Lineage: Eukaryota; Metazoa; Arthropoda; Insecta; Orthoptera; Pyrgomorphidae.